AGCUGUUAAAACAUAAGUAUAGCCACACCCUACCUAGUUAAUAUGAUCUUCUUUAGCAUGCAAUGUAUAUCAUUUUCUGGAAUGAUCUUUUUAAAGGCAAAUAUUCAGUAUGCUGUUUACUUGGAGGUUUUCUCAUUAUUUACAUGUGUUCUUUCCCAAGAUGAAAGUGGAUCAGUGUGAGUCAACUCCUCACAUUCUUUGACAGUUUGAAGCGGAACUUACUACACAUCUCUUCUAAAACCAAUGGUGGCAAAAUGAAAGUAACAAAAGAGAUGAACAAGACCCGUGCUGUAGAAGAUCAGACGAGCAAAAGGGGAUUCACAGCCGCAGAACAGAGGCAGAAAAGUCCCUCGCUCUUAGCCGCAGCUUCUUGGAGCAGGGGAGGGAACAAGGGCUUUGGGGGCUCUCCUGCAAGUAUUGUCUGACUGCAGCAUGGACGGCUGAGUCUGCCUCACGGUGCUGCGGAGAGCCUGAUGCUUCAGCUUUGUGCCGGGAACAGCAGUACUUUUUAAACUCUGAGGAUGUACUGGGACCUUCAAGGCUCUCUCAGAUGCCCCAGGGUAGACUUUAGAAGAGUGAUCCUCCAGCCUCACAUGCGUUACGGUUUUCCAGAGCGUUUACUACAACACAGAUUUCUGCCCCCUCGCACCUCUGUCACUACCUCUAGGUUUCUGACCCAGUAGGUCUGGACAGAGCCAUAGAAUCUGCUUUGCGGAAUGUCCCCAGGUGCCAUUGCUGGUUUGGGGACACUGUUUGGAGGGCCAUAAACUUAGAGGAAUGGGUAUCAAGGAGGGGUUCGAAAAC
This 804-nucleotide long non-coding RNA is filed under the name Chinchilla lanigera (long-tailed chinchilla). RNAcentral describes it as "lncRNA (ENSCLAG00000023781.1)". The record is from RNAcentral. Lineage: Eukaryota; Metazoa; Chordata; Mammalia; Rodentia; Chinchillidae.